GGAAAAAAACACAGUCCAAGUCAAAAACCAAAUUAUAGAUCCAGGGGUAGGAGGGAAAACGCCUUUAACGGGAAUUGGGCUAAUUUCCUUAAUAUGUCAAGCGCUCCUAGAAAACAAUAACUCCCAACAACUCAAUGGAAAAACGGCUGAAGAAUACGAAUGGCAAAUGGCUUUUAAACCUGUGCGUGUUUACAGCAAAUACAGACUUGCCCCGUCUCGAAAGGGUUAUAUGAGUGGCAAAAAUAACCGAUGUAGAGAUAAAUCCGACAAAACUACUGAUGUGUUCGAUUUCACUUGUAGGAAACUCGAGCAAAGCUACAAUGAAAUAUUAUUUCACGCCUGCCGGGUCUGCAAAAUCAAGCGUCGGGGCUGGGGGCCAUGGGCCCCUCCUCGUCCGCGCGGGCUCGAGGCUAGGACCUGUGCUAGGGACCUGGGGAAAGGGCCCUUUGACCUAGCAGCCCUGCACUGAAGAAUUCGGUGUCCGGGAAUAUUCCUCCUUGUGUGUCCUUGGGCGUCGAGGGGACAAGGCUGUCCCUGUGCGAGGAUCGUCCGCGGGGCAUCGCGUGCUACAAAAACGCUGGAAAGAACCUGACUUCCCACCGACAGGAGACGGCCCGGCAAUCAGGACCCGGGCCCGCACCUGCGCGGCGAGAAGGCGCCACUGCCACGCCGCGUGCACACUCCGGAGGUCCCCGCGCACACGGGACAGGUGAGGACUGCCCGGGCGGGGCGCCCUGGGGUCGGGCUGGCGGGGAUGCCAGGUGUUCACCCGACGCGCCAGGUCUUGCUCUGUGCGUCUGAAAACAUGUUUGUUCCGAUUCUAAACCAGGUGUUUUCAACGUCGUGCGCCUGCGGAGCGCUUGAUCUCGGGGGCUUGGGGUCUGGUGGGGCCAAGACCACAGGCUCUGCGGCAAGGGGCGGGGCUGGAGGCAGAGCAGCCGAGAAACACCAGCACAGGGCCCCGUCGGCGCGUCGGCCGCCAAGCCAAGCUGUGCAAAGGCCCUGUGGCGGAGGGCAGAGGAGCGCGGGGCCCACGGCCCCCUCUCCGGCGAGUUCACUUCCCGGCCCCACUCGGGCCCGCGGCGCCGCCCAUUGCCGGGACCGGCCCGUGGGGCUCGGAGGGGGCGGGCGAGGCCCCGUCGAGCAGGCGGCGCCCCGGGCCCGAGAGCGGCCGCACGCCCCGGCCACGCCGCCCCACGGGAGGCCGAGGCGCGCAGGGGCACGCGGGCCGGGCUGCGGGGUCCGAGCCGCCGCCACUUACCGCCGCGGCCGCCACCUCCUCCCGGGUCGGGUCGGUCGCCUCAGCCGCCGCGGCGCGCGGAGCCCGCCACUUCCGCUUCCGCCCUGGCCGCGCCCCCUCGGCGGCGACCCCGCCCCCAGGGCGAAGCCCCGCCCCCUCUUAAGGGGGCCGCGGCCCCCAGGAAGCCUGGGGCGGGGCGGGUGGAAGCGGCCCCUCUGGGUGUCCGCCUGGCCACCGCCUGCUGCCGCAACACACGCAGAGUCGCCUCGGAGGACAGGCCACUUCUCACCCUGGAGCGGCGCAGAGGGCUCCCCAGGGGCUGGGGGAAGUCCAGGGAGACCCCGGCUCAGCCCUGUCUUCAACGGCAUCCCCGGAGGACACGCUGUCGGGGUCCUGGGAGUUUGA
Molecule: long non-coding RNA, 1645 nt
Filed under: Canis lupus familiaris (dog)
Lineage: Eukaryota; Metazoa; Chordata; Mammalia; Carnivora; Canidae
Description: lncRNA (ENSCAFG00030011168.1)
Source: RNAcentral